Molecule: ribosomal RNA, 279 nt
Filed under: Triticum aestivum (bread wheat)
Lineage: Eukaryota; Viridiplantae; Streptophyta; Magnoliopsida; Poales; Poaceae
Description: partial small subunit ribosomal RNA
Source: RNAcentral
AGUGUCUAUUUAUUUUCGAUUGGUAUCUAUGGAUUGAUCACAAGCCGAAACAUGGUUAGAGCUCUAAUAUGUCUUGAACUUAUACUGAAUUCAAUUAAUCUAAAUCUCGUAACAUUUUCUGAUCUAUUUGAUAGUCGCCAAUUAAAAGGAGAUAUUUUCGCAAUUUUUGUUAUAGCCCUUGCGGCUGCUGAAGCCGCUAUUGGACUAUCCAUUCUUUCUUCCAUCCAUCGUAAUAGGAAAUCCACUCGUAUCAAUCAAUCUAAUUUAUUGAAUAAUUAG